CUCCCAUGCUAUUAUUAUCUUUGUGCCUCCUGGCUAAUGCAGCAAGAUGAAAGAUAACCCUUUCAUUCCCAGGUCCCAGAGCCCUUAUUACUUCCUACCUACCUCUAAAGCUGCUGAGCUGCCGUGAUUUGAGAUAUAUUUUUUUCAUUCCUGGAAAUAAAGAGAAAGAUAAGAGAUAUUCAUACCUUACUUUCAACACAGGAUCCACUGGAAGGAAAAUGUGAAGUGACAUCUCAAUCACGCUGGCAGCCCUGUUAUCUCAGGAGGGACAUGAAGAAAAAGAGGGGGGAACUACAGGUGCCAAAUGGUACAUUCACCAUACUACCUUAUAUACCCAGAAUAUUCACUGUAAUCUACCUGCAAAAUGAGAAGAAGAACAGUCAACCCAGCAUCGUUGUAAGAACAGAAAUAGACGACAAUGGAAGGGUUGUGCAACCACCUGCGCUUCAGUCAAGCUUCAGGAGCCUGUCUCACUGACUCAGCCAGACACAAUGCCCUCCAGCUACAAGAACUGUGUGCUAAAAAGAAGCCACACCUUCCAAAGAACAGAGUGCUUUUAACCCUGCCAGCUACUAUGUAGUGACAAAGUCCCAGGUAGACUCUGAAACCUCAUACUAAGGAAAGCUUCCAAUAUCCCACCACCCACCACUCCCCUUUAAUCGAGUCUUUAACUAGAGCCCAGAUUGACAAUGUUAUGUUACAAAAACGUGGCAUUAGCAGGUUAUGCGUAUUUCCAAUAUGCCAGAGGUGGAACACCAUUCAGAUGUGUUGUGGAAGACCUUUUUUGGGCUAGCCUUUGGUAACAGUGUUAAGAUGUUGAUGGGAGACAAUGAAUUAAUGAAUCUUAGGCUGACACCUCAGAGACAAAAACCAGCCACUGCAUAGUGCAGAGUGUUUCAAGGGUGUUCUGUAAUCUGUCACCCGGCUGAUGUUUCCUGUCCCUGCCUCUUUCUCUAAAUUGCCCUUAGAAACUUUCAGGCAUGGUAGAACAAAGUUAGAUAUUUCCCCUACCCACCAUCUGCUUCUUGGACAUACUGUAGUAUAGAAUGCACCUAGUAAUAUAGCGAGAUAUAUAUAUAUAUAUAUAUAUAUAUAUAUAUAUAUAUACACACACACACACACACACACACACACACACACACAUCUCAAAGCUAUAUUACUAGGUGCAUUAUGCAAAAUCCCAUAAUCAUGUCUUAUUUAGAUGGCAACAUUUAAGAUGUCAGGCACGAAAAUGAAAUGUUGGAUGUUACCCUCUGCAAUAAUAAAUAAAUAAUCAACUCUUCAGCCUAGCAAACCAAGACAAGGGCUAAACUAAAAACUUUCCUUCUGGUGUGCUUGUGUUUUAGAUGCAGGAUGUUGGUUCUGCAUGACAGAGCUGUCAUCUGAAAUGAUAUAAUCCAGAAAGGAAUUUACAACAUGAUCUUUCAGAAUAUGCAACUGUAUAUAUAAUUAUCAUAUUUUGUGGGAAUGGAUUCUUAACAGCAUAAUCUGAGGAAUGAGAGUUCUCUUUUAGUUCUUUUCUGGACACAAUUCAAAGUGCUGAUUAUUACCUAUAAAGGUCCCAGCAAUUUGGGACUGUAUCGUGUGAAGGGCCUCCUCUCCUCUCAUAAACUUAAUCAUACACUGUGUUCAACGUAGAAGCCUUUGGCGGGUUACACACCGCCAUUUAGUAUGUAAUGAAUAUGUACUAGGGUUAGGAAGGGGCGGUGCUUCCGCACCCCCCUAACCCUAGUACGUAUUCU
Sceloporus undulatus (fence lizard) is the source of this 1742-nucleotide long non-coding RNA. RefSeq lists it as uncharacterized. The transcript is spliced from 4 exons. The record is from RefSeq and is a predicted model, not a curated record. Lineage: Eukaryota; Metazoa; Chordata; Lepidosauria; Squamata; Phrynosomatidae.